CGAUGGUCGCGGAGGGGGGAGAUGCUCCUGUGCUGACCGACCGCUGCUGAAGGCAACUCCGAUCGUCUCUCUCCGCCCUCGGGAUGUUGGCCACUCCGCUCUGAUCUGAUCUGCACAGUUCCCUGACCAUAAGACGGAGUGGAACUAGAGUGUGGACAAAGACAACCCUGCUAAUCCUGGGUGGUAAUACAGAGGACUUUCAUGCCAACUUCAGAU
Molecule: long non-coding RNA, 216 nt
Organism: Callorhinchus milii (elephant shark)
Lineage: Eukaryota; Metazoa; Chordata; Chondrichthyes; Chimaeriformes; Callorhinchidae
Exons: 3
Source: RefSeq, a predicted model, not a curated record